Molecule: ribosomal RNA, 1058 nt
Filed under: Arthrobacter sp.
Lineage: Bacteria; Bacillati; Actinomycetota; Actinomycetes; Micrococcales; Micrococcaceae
Description: bacterial SSU rRNA
Rfam family: Bacterial small subunit ribosomal RNA
Source: RNAcentral
GGGGAUUAGUGGCGAACGGGUGAGUAACACGUGAGUAACCUGCCCUUAACUCUGGGAUAAGCCUGGGAAACUGGGUCUAAUACCGGAUAUGACUUCUCAUCGCAUGGUGGGGGGUGGAAAGCUUUUUGUGGUUUUGGAUGGACUCGCGGCCUAUCAGCUUGUUGGUGAGGUAAUGGCUUACCAAGGCGACGACGGGUAGCCGGCCUGAGAGGGUGACCGGCCACACUGGGACUGAGACACGGCCCAGACUCCUACGGGAGGCAGCAGUGGGGAAUAUUGCACAAUGGGCGCAAGCCUGAUGCAGCGACGCCGCGUGAGGGAUGACGGCCUUCGGGUUGUAAACCUCUUUCAGUAGGGAAGAAGCGAAAGUGACGGUACCUGCAGAAGAAGCGCCGGCUAACUACGUGCCAGCAGCCGCGGUAAUACGUAGGGCGCAAGCGUUAUCCGGAAUUAUUGGGCGUAAAGAGCUCGUAGGCGGUUUGUCGCGUCUGCCGUGAAAGUCCGGGGCUCAACUCCGGAUCUGCGGUGGGUACGGGCAGACUAGAGUGAUGUAGGGGAGACUGGAAUUCCUGGUGUAGCGGUGAAAUGCGCAGAUAUCAGGAGGAACACCGAUGGCGAAGGCAGGUCUCUGGGCAUUAACUGACGCUGAGGAGCGAAAGCAUGGGGAGCGAACAGGAUUAGAUACCCUGGUAGUCCAUGCCGUAAACGUUGGGCACUAGGUGUGGGGGACAUUCCACGUUUUCCGCGCCGUAGCUAACGCAUUAAGUGCCCCGCCUGGGGAGUACGGCCGCAAGGCUAAAACUCAAAGGAAUUGACGGGGGCCCGCACAAGCGGCGGAGCAUGCGGAUUAAUUCGAUGCAACGCGAAGAACCUUACCAAGGCUUGACAUGGACCGGACCGCCGCAAAAAUGUGGUUUCCCCUUUGGGGCCGGUUCACAGGUGGUGCAUGGUUGUCGUCAGCUCGUGUCCUGAGAUGUUGGGUUAAGUCCCGCAACAAGCGCAACCCUCGUUCUAUGUUGCCAGCACGUGAUGGUGGGGACUCAUAGGAAACUGCCGGG